This 459-nucleotide ribosomal RNA is filed under the name uncultured bacterium. RNAcentral's name for it is "partial 16S ribosomal RNA". It matches the Rfam family "Bacterial small subunit ribosomal RNA", at positions 338 to 795 of the family's 1533-position model. The record is from RNAcentral.
CCUACGGGUGGCAGCAGUGAGGAAUAUUGGUCAAUGGCCGGGAGGCUGAACCAGCCAAGUCGCGUGAGGGAAGACGGCCCUACGGGUUGUAAACCUCUUUUGUCAGGGAGCAAGGUGCAGGUCGGGACCUGCUGUGAGAGUACCUGAAGAAAAAGGAUCGGCUAACUCCGUGCCAGCAGCCGCGGUAAUACGGAGGAUGCGAGCGUUAUCCGGAUUUAUUGGGUUAAAAGGGUGCGCAGGCGGAGGCGAAAGUCAGCGGGAAAAUCGCGGGGCUCAACCCAGCUCCGCCGUUGACACUGUGGCCCUUGAGUGCGCGAAGGGUAGGCGGAAUGCGUGGUGUAGCGGUGAAAUGCGUAGAUAUCACGCAGAACUCCGAUCGCGAAGGCAGCCUACCGGCGCGCAACUGACGCUCAUGCACGAAAGCGUGGGUAUCGAACAGGAUUAGAUACCCGGGUAGUC